CCUCGUCGAUCUGCUGCGGGCAGAUGAAGUGGAUGUGCGUGUCGAUGCCGCCGGCCGUGACGAUCAUGCCCUCGCCCGCAAUGAUUUCCGUGCCGGGGCCGAUGACGAUGGUCACGCCCGGCUGCAUGUCCGGGUUGCCGGCCUUGCCUAUGCCUGCGAUCAGCCCGUUCUUGAUGGCGAUGUCGGCCUUGACGAUGCCCCAGUGGUCGAUGAUCACGGCAUUGGUGAUGACGGUGUCGGCACAGUCGGCGGCCAUGCGCUGGCUCUGGCCCAUGCCGUCGCGGAUG
Delftia acidovorans SPH-1 is the source of this 287-nucleotide small RNA. It matches the Rfam family "5' ureB small RNA". The record is from Rfam. NCBI's taxonomy places the organism in Bacteria, Pseudomonadati, Pseudomonadota, Betaproteobacteria, Burkholderiales, Comamonadaceae.